Molecule: ribosomal RNA, 253 nt
Filed under: uncultured bacterium
Lineage: Bacteria
Description: partial 16S ribosomal RNA
Rfam family: Bacterial small subunit ribosomal RNA
Source: RNAcentral
UACGGAGGGUGCAAGCGUUAUCCGGAUUUAUUGGGCGUAAAGAGCGUGUAGGCGGCCAGACAAGUCUGCUGUGAAAACUCGAGGCUCAACCUCGAGCUGUCGGUGGAAACUGUCUGGCUAGAGUCCGGAAGAGGAGAGUGGAAUUCCUGGUGUAGCGGUGAAAUGCGCAGAUAUCAGGAAGAACACCUAUGGCGAAGGCAGCUCUCUGGGACGGUACUGACGCUGAGACGCGAAAGCGUGGGGAGCGAACAGG